CAGGUAAUCAGGAGCCAGGACACACGCACUGACCAUUAGAUGGGAGGCAGGGAAGGGGCAGAGCCGGGAGAGUGCAAGCAGGAACUUCCCCAAAUCUCCUCCCUGUUCCUGGCCUUGGUUCAUCUUCUCUGAUGAUGAACAAGCCCAAUACCACAGAGGUCCUGCUGCUUCCUGAGGAGGCUUACCAAGUAGGAGACGCUUCCAGAACCAUUCCUUCAAUAGAAGUGGUGGCUGAGCCUGCGCCACCAUCUUAGACCAUGAAAAGAGGUCAUACACCACAAUGCCACCAGAUAAAAGGAGCCUGGGGUCCUGAGCACUUUGUGCAGAAUGACACUGCCAACCUCUGAACUUCAACAGGAGGAGAAAAAUGCACUUGUGUUUCUUUUGAGCCACUGUUUUCGGUCUUCAUAAGUCACAGCCACAUAGGACCAUAACUGAUACUGGUUUCAGAAAAGGUCUGGCUCCAGCAGUGGUCUUCUGGUUGUGCUCCAAGAAGCACAAGUUAGAGACUCUCAAGAAGCUGGAAUCCAGCCCACCGCCUCAGCCAGAGCUCUGUUCCCUUCAGCUUUGCAUAUUGGCUUCCCCCAUAGAAUUUAGGUUGAGCAAAAGUCUUUGGAGCUAAAACAAUUUGAAAACCACUAGAGUCAAUGACCCCUUUCAUAACUACAUAAAGAUCUCUGGUUUUAUGAUUCAACCAGCUUACUCACAAAGUUGGAGCUCUCUUCAAAGAAGAAAGGCUACCCAUGGACCUUGGUCUCAUCUUCGCAGCCAGACUAAAUUCUGAGAAGGGUGAAUUUAGGUUGGUGGUUCUCAGCUUCCUGCAACAAGCUUCCUACGGAGCCUCAACAAUGGCUGGAUUUAUAGAUGUUCCACAAAAUUCUGCGGCUGGUUGCCCCAAUGGGGCAACAGGGAAGCUAUGAGAAGGAGAAUCUAAUCCACCCUGGAGAGCUCUCAGGGAUCUCGGGAUCCCAAUAUAGUGGUGACUGGGCCCCUGAACUCUGAUCUGACCCUCGGACAUAGACAAAAGGAGCUACGUUGUCUCUGCUAAUCCCCUCAACCUUGAGAAAGGUGCCAGCAUUGCCCCAUUGCUCAGAUGAGAAAACUGAGGCUCAGAGAAGGUCAGUGACUCGAUUCAGAUCACACAGCCAGUCUAUCACAGAGCUAUCUCCAAAACCCAUGCUCCUUCUAUUACACUAUCCUGUCCACUCCAGGGAUGGAAAAGAACAUCCAUUGGGAGCUCACCACCGCCCAUCUGGUGCACACAGCCUCUAGCCCCUGGAUAUUUCUGUUCUGUUCUGCAGACCCGCCCAGCCCAAACUGU
Long non-coding RNA from Canis lupus familiaris (dog), 1321 nucleotides. RefSeq lists it as uncharacterized. The transcript has 4 exons. The record is from RefSeq and is a predicted model, not a curated record. Lineage: Eukaryota; Metazoa; Chordata; Mammalia; Carnivora; Canidae.